UUGUGCGCCUGUUAUGUUGAGGGAGUUACAUGACCUCUUUGUUUUACCGCAGCAACACUCCCAAACACAGCAGACGUGUGUGAGCAUGUAAACAACUGAAAAAACGAGCAUUUCCUGAGGUCCAACUGUGAGCGAGAGGGAACAACUUCUGUCAAGUUAUUGAUGUUGAGAAACUCCGGUUGUUUUUUUGUGACCAGAUUGAAUCAAAGAUGGCGAGUCCAGCCCGUGACCCUGUGGCCGGAUGGAGAAACAAUGUUGGCCAGACCGUAGGAACUGCCCACAGAGGACAUCUGAUUUAAAGUGAUACCCAUUUUCAUUGGGUUACAGUGCGGACUCCCUGCUACGAGGCUGUCAUGGCUGUUCAAUCCCUUCCUCCUCACACAUGUCUUUUGGUGCCACAUCAGAAGGAGAAGAAAAGCCUCAAAGCAGCAGAUGACGAAGGGCUCCAGGGCCUUACACAAACAGUCUAAAGAAACAGUGAUAUACAGCCUCCGCUGACAGCGGCAAAUAUUGACCAUCCUGACCUCAGAUCUAUGUAGGUCAUGUGAACGAUUCCUUUCUGUUCACCUAGAUGGAGUGUCAGUGUUGCUACUGGUUUAUCAUUCAGCUUGUAAUUAAUCAAAUGCCACAAGCUCGGCACUAUUUAAAUCCUACCUAACCAGCCAAGGUUGUAGGAAUAUUUGAUACUUCAGCCAGCUGAUACACAGAUCUAUAGAGUCCUGAAACUGACAAAAAGCAGUAUAAUUUAAAAAAAUAACUGAAUACAUCAAUAAUAAUUGUUAAGUAAAUAAUAGUAAUAAAGUAAAUAAAGUUAUCAGAGGUAAGCCUGUGUCAGGCAAGUAAGUCCCCUCCAUUGUAAAAUGCUUUUAUUUGUUCAGAUUUCAUACAUGGGAUUUUUACCUCCACCCCCAACAGAGGUUAAAAUCACCACAGACCUCACUGUGGACAAUUUUCAUAGGGAGUCUUUCUUCAGUAGAAAAUACUCCUAUGGACAUUGUAGACAGUUUAUCCUGUGGAUUAUCCAUUCACCUCCAUUGUACUGGAUUCUGGAAAGAGAUGUUGCUGUUGAAUGUUUUUGAUGCUUUCUAAUUCUCAGUGUGCACAGAAGAAAUUUCAUUGUAUUGUGGUAGAGACAGGAAUCAGGAAAGGAAGACUCAGGACCUUCUUGUUGUGAACAACAGUGCUAACCGCUGCACCACCGUGCCAUCCUCCAUACAGAUCUACCUUCCUCUCUAGAGAAUUAGCAUUUGUGUUUAAAUCAGUUUUGAUCCUUUAUCUCUACACUAGUUGGAGUUCCACUGUCUAGUGCAAGCAAAUGAUUUUGCUGAUACACAAGUCAAGGUCGAUUCUCCUGUGUUUGCAGGGCUGAAAGCCAUACACACACUGACACACAUACACUGAUAUAAAUGCUGCUGGGUGAGAUGGAAGACAAGCAGUGAGACACAGUGGCCAUGUUGACUCAGCUCAGGAAAUAAACAGACUGACAGACUGGCACCUCACACACACACAGUCAUGCUCCAACUGGCAACAUGAUACGAUAUUUUCAGCCAAAUUUCCAUCCCCUGUCAUUUUUUUCCCUGAAGCUGUGUUGACUCGUGCUUUUGUCUUUACCGAAAUAUUACUUUUUUAAUCCAUUUCUACUGAUUUCUUAGUAGAAAUGGAGUAAUAAUCCACAAGAAACAGCCUGGUAAAGAAUCUGCUUUCACAUACAAUAAUCUAGCCUUCCACUAGCCACACAUCAAACUGAUUUCAAAUGGAGGCCACUUAAUAAUAAAUUGGAUGAGCACCGAGCCAGUUCUUAUCUAACAGGUUUGGUAUCAGGAAUAGGAGCAUAGGGGAGGUAGAGGAGAGGAUCACUGGAAGAUAGGAGGAGCCUCGUGCUGCUGACCUAUCCUGCGUAACAGAGUGGACCAUCUCCAGAGGUGUCAGUGUCAGCCUCUCCAUCAGCAGUCAGUCCAAGGCCUCUCAACGCCACAGCGGUCCAGUGCCCAAUCCAUACUGGUGUGAGCAUCCAUGCAGACUCUGCUCUAAAUAGGGACAGGUCAAGGGACAUGACAAGCAAGCUAACAUGCAGGCUGCUGGCCUCCCAUUGGGAGCAAUUUGAGGUUCAGUAUCUUUCCCAAGGAACCACCCACCCUGUGAUUAGCAGAUGACCUGCGCUACUUCCUGAGCCACAGCCGCCCAAUUAAGUUGCCUAUCAGGCCAGUGGAACCAGAACAUGCAGUUUAGCCUAAGCAGGUACAAUGUAGAUAUUAGGCUGGUUCAAGCUGCAGAGUAUCUUCUCUUUGCUUAGGUGAGGGUAGUAUUUAAAGGUAGCUUAAAGGUACUUCAGGUCAGGAUUAGAGAAUUGUGUCAGAACAUCAUUAAACACGGUUAAGAAUGGCAAAUGUCACAACAAUAAACCACUAAAGUCUUAAAACUAAAAGUGUGUGCUAUGUGUUUGUGUCUUUCUUUGCCUCAGACGUGGUCAUCAUUGCAACAAUGAGUGCAGAUCAAACCCAUCAUCUUUUUUGUUUUCAUUUUUUAAAGUAUUAUGAAUAAAUCCAUGGUAUGCAUCAUAGAAAGUUUAAGAAACUAAAGGGAUAAAAAUGAAUAUGUGGAGCUCAAUGUUUGCCCAACUUUUCAUUUUUCUUUCUUACAUCACUAUAUCUGUGUCUAAGUUUGGGUGUCUUUUCUAUUCUUGCUUCCUUCAGAGUUUACAAUUGUUCCACAGGAGAUAAUACAUUCUGACCGGGAUGCUUAAUGUGCUCACCUUCCCUAUGGCUCCAUCUCUUGGGGUGUCUUGCAUCAGUGAUGAGUCUUCUCACUCACAGAAACAGAAAUGCCAGCGAGUCGCUGCACACAAUUUGAUUCACUGCUUUUUCCAAGCUCUCAUCCAUCUGCUCUUUGUCUCCCUCAUACCUCCCUCACUCCCUCUUUCUUUUUUGUCCUACAUGCCUUGUGUUGCCCAUGGUUUUCACUCUGACUCCUGAAUGGAAAUAAUGGGCACAGUCAUAAAUAUUCAUGAAUAUUUGUUGGUUUAAUAUCCAAAGAUUGCC
Thunnus maccoyii (southern bluefin tuna) is the source of this 3038-nucleotide long non-coding RNA. RefSeq lists it as uncharacterized. Lineage: Eukaryota; Metazoa; Chordata; Actinopteri; Scombriformes; Scombridae. The transcript has 5 exons. The record is from RefSeq and is a predicted model, not a curated record.